UGGGGAAUAUUGGACAAUGGGCGAAAGCCUGAUCCAGCCAUGCCGCGUGUGUGAAGAAGGUCUUCGGAUUGUAAAGCACUUUAAGUUGGGAGGAAGGGUAUUAACCUAAUACGUUAGUGUUUUGACGUUACCGACAGAAUAAGCACCGGCUAACUCUGUGCCAGCAGCCGCGGUAAUACAGAGGGUGCAAGCGUUAAUCGGAAUUACUGGGCGUAAAGCGCGCGUAGGUGGUUUGUUAAGUUGGAUGUGAAAUCCCCGGGCUCAGCCUGGGAACUGCAUUCAAAACUGACUGACUAGAGUAUGGUAGAGGGUGGUGGAAUUUCCUGUGUAGCGGUGAAAUGCGUAGAUAUAGGAAGGAACACCAGUGGCGAAGGCGACCACCUGGACUAAUACUGACACUGAGGUGCGAAAGCGUGGGGAGCAAACA
This 427-nucleotide ribosomal RNA is filed under the name uncultured bacterium. Its description in RNAcentral is "partial 16S ribosomal RNA". It matches the Rfam family "Bacterial small subunit ribosomal RNA", at positions 355 to 774 of the family's 1533-position model. The record is from RNAcentral.